This 68-nucleotide transfer RNA is filed under the name Marmota monax (woodchuck). RNAcentral describes it as "tRNA.Ala". Lineage: Eukaryota; Metazoa; Chordata; Mammalia; Rodentia; Sciuridae. The record is from RNAcentral.
GUGGCGGCUCAGUGGCAGAGCGCUCACCUAGCAUGCGUGAAGCACUGGGUUCGAUCCUCAGCACCACA